GGGGCUGUGGCUCAGUGGUAGAGUAUCUGCUUGGUAUGCAGAAGCUUAAAGGUUCGAUCCCUGACAACCCUA
RNAcentral lists this transfer RNA (72 nucleotides) under Sphaerodactylus townsendi. Its description in RNAcentral is "tRNA-Thr". It matches the Rfam family "tRNA". From Rfam's summary of the family: Transfer RNA (tRNA) molecules are approximately 80 nucleotides in length. Their secondary structure includes four short double-helical elements and three loops (D, anti-codon, and T loops). Further hydrogen bonds mediate the characteristic L-shaped molecular structure. tRNAs have two regions of fundamental functional importance: the anti-codon, which is responsible for specific mRNA codon recognition, and the 3' end, to which the tRNAs corresponding amino acid is attached (by aminoacyl-tRNA synthetases). tRNAs cope with the degeneracy of the genetic code in two manners: having more than one tRNA (with a specific anti-codon) for a particular amino acid; and 'wobble' base-pairing, i.e. permitting non-standard base-pairing at the 3rd anti-codon position. The record is from RNAcentral. Lineage: Eukaryota; Metazoa; Chordata; Lepidosauria; Squamata; Sphaerodactylidae.